Molecule: ribosomal RNA, 352 nt
Filed under: uncultured bacterium
Lineage: Bacteria
Description: bacterial SSU rRNA
Rfam family: Bacterial small subunit ribosomal RNA
Source: RNAcentral
GGUGGUGCAUGGCUGUCGUCAGCUCGUGUCGUGAGAUGUUGGGUUAAGUCCCGCAACGAGCGCAACCCUUAAGCUUAGUUGCCAGCAUUCAGUUGGGCACUCUAAGGUGACUGCCGGUGACAAACCGGAGGAAGGUGGGGAUGACGUCAAAUCAUCAUGCCCCUUAUGCCCUGGGCUACACACGUGCUACAAUGGACGGUACAAACGGUUGCCAACCCGCGAGGGGGAGCUAAUCCGAUAAAACCGUUCUCAGUUCGGAUUGUAGGCUGCAACUCGCCUACAUGAAGCCGGAAUCGCUAGUAAUCGUGGAUCAGCAUGCCACGGUGAAUACGUUCCCGGGUCUUGUACACAC